CGAUGAGGUAGAGGUCGCAACUAUAAUGAGUCUAUUUGGAGAAAGCGUUAGAGCCGCUGUUGAUCCCAAAUAAAAAGGUAUCGUUGCCGAAGUAUACGUAACGCUCUUCUGUUACUUAUGCUGGGACUGUGUCCGAAAGGAACAGGACUGUCACAGUGAACCAUCUUCGGAUGUGUCCUGUGUUGAGCUAUCUUUACA
This 198-nucleotide non-coding RNA is filed under the name Paenibacillus sp. Its description in RNAcentral is "Lysine sequence". It matches the Rfam family "Lysine riboswitch aptamer". From Rfam's summary of the family: Riboswitches are metabolite binding domains within certain messenger RNAs that serve as precision sensors for their corresponding targets. Lineage: Bacteria; Bacillati; Bacillota; Bacilli; Caryophanales; Paenibacillaceae. RNAcentral also lists the same sequence under 1 other name. The record is from RNAcentral.